AUUUGGACCAACCGUGAGUGAUCAACCAUUGGAGCAAGCUAUGGAGCUUGAAUAGCUCAUUGGAAUUGGUGUAUGUUUGUAAAAGUUGAUUGCUGAAACUGUUGGUGAAGAACAAAGGUUGACUGAAGCAUUGAGGUAAGGAUGCUGCAGGAGCCUCUGGUGGCAAGUGGCCAUACCUAGAUUAUGCAUGAAAUAUGGCACUUCUUUGAGUUUAUGCAUGCCUUUUGUAGUUGACAUGUAUAGG
Molecule: long non-coding RNA, 244 nt
Organism: Gastrolobium bilobum
Lineage: Eukaryota; Viridiplantae; Streptophyta; Magnoliopsida; Fabales; Fabaceae
Exons: 3
Source: RefSeq, a predicted model, not a curated record